This 423-nucleotide ribosomal RNA is filed under the name uncultured bacterium. RNAcentral describes it as "partial 16S ribosomal RNA". It matches the Rfam family "Bacterial small subunit ribosomal RNA", at positions 359 to 774 of the family's 1533-position model. The record is from RNAcentral.
GAAUAUUGGACAAUGGGCGAAAGCCUGAUCCAGCCAUGCCGCGUGUGUGAAGAAGGUCUUCGGAUUGUAAAGCACUUUAUGUUGGGAGGAAGGGCAGUAAGCGAAUACCUUGCUGUUUUGACGUUACACACAGAAUACGCACAGGCUUACUCUGUGCCAGCAGCCGCGGUAAUACAGAGGGUGCAAGCGUUAAUCGACAUUACGGGGCGUAAAGCGCGCGUAAGUGGUUCGUUAAGUUGGAAUGGAAAUCCCCUGGCUCAACCUGGGAACUGCAUCCAAAAAUGAGGAGGUAGAGGAGGGGAGAGGGAAGAGGAAUAUCGUGGGGAGGGGUGAAAAGCGUAGAAAUAGGAAGGAAAAACAGUGGCGAAGGCGACCACCUGGGCUCAUACUGAAACUGAGGUGCGAAAGCGUGGGGAGCAAACA